This 332-nucleotide ribosomal RNA is filed under the name uncultured bacterium. Its description in RNAcentral is "bacterial SSU rRNA". It matches the Rfam family "Bacterial small subunit ribosomal RNA", at positions 568 to 898 of the family's 1533-position model. The record is from RNAcentral.
CGCGUAGGCGGUGCGGUAAGUCUGAUGUGAAACCUCCAGGCUCAACUUGGAGCUGGCAUCAGAUACUGCCGUGCUAGAGUGCGGGAGAGGAGAGUGGAAUUCCUGGUGUAGCGGUGAAAUGCGUAGAUAUCAGGAGGAACACCGGUGGCGAAGGCGGCUCUCUGGACCGCAACUGACGCUGAGGCGCGAAAGCUAGGGGAGCAAACAGGAUUAGAUACCCUGGUAGUCCUAGCUGUAAACGAUGAACACUUGGUAUAGCGGGUAUCGAAUCCCGCCGUGCCGGAGCUAACGCAUUAAGUGUUCCGCCUGGGGAGUACGGUCGCAAGGCUGAA